AUUGAACGCUGGCGGCAGGCCUAACACAUGCAAGUCGAGCGAGCGGCGGACGGGUGAGUAAUGUAUGGGGACUGCCCGAUAGAGGGGGAUAACUACUGGAAACGGUAGCUAAUACCGCAUACUAUCGGAUAACCCAUAUGGGAUUAGCUAGUAGGUGAGGUAAUGGCUCACCUAGGCGACGAUCCCUAGCUGGUCUGAGAGGAUGAUCAGCAACACUGGGACUGAGAAACGGCCCGGACUCCAACGGGGGAAGCGGUGGGGAAGAUUGCACAAUGGGCGAAAGCCGGAUGCAGCCAUGCCGGGUGUAGGAAGAAGGCCCUAGGGUUGUAAAGUACUUUCAGUCGGGAGGCGUUACCGACAGAAGAAGCACCGGCUAACUCCGUGCCAGCAGCCGCGGUAAUAC
Molecule: ribosomal RNA, 403 nt
Filed under: uncultured bacterium
Lineage: Bacteria
Description: partial 16S ribosomal RNA
Rfam family: Bacterial small subunit ribosomal RNA
Source: RNAcentral